GACGAACGCUGGCGGCGUGCUUAACACAUGCAAGUCGAGCGAUGAAGCCGGAGCUUGCUCUGGUGAAUUAGUGGCGAACGGGUGAGUAACACGUGAGUAACCUGCCCUUGACUCUGGGAUAACUGCGGGAAACUGUAGCUAAUACCGGAUACGACCCUCGGAGGCAUCUCCUGGGGGUGGAAAGAAUUUCGGUCAAGGAUGGACUCGCGGCCUAUCAGCUAGUUGGUGAGGUAAAGGCUCACCAAGGCGACGACGGGUAGCCGGCCGGAGAGGGGGACCGGCCACACUGGGACUGAGACACGGCCCAGACUCCUACGGGAGGCAGCAGUGGGGAAUAUUGCACAAUGGGCGCAAGCCUGAUGCAGCAACGCCGCGUGAGGGAUGACGGCCUUCGGGUUGUAAACCUCUUUUAGCAGGGAAGAAGCGAAAGUGACGGUACCUGCAGAAAAAGCACCGGCUAACUACGUGCCAGCCGCCGCCGUAA
RNAcentral lists this ribosomal RNA (484 nucleotides) under uncultured bacterium. RNAcentral's name for it is "partial 16S ribosomal RNA". It matches the Rfam family "Bacterial small subunit ribosomal RNA", at positions 28 to 523 of the family's 1533-position model. The record is from RNAcentral.